GCUAGUCGCACGGGUUCAGACCCGUGGCGAAAAGCUCAGUAACACGUGGCCGAACUACCCUACGGAUCGGGACAACCUCGGGAAACUGAGGUUAAUCCCGAAUAGCGCUCCCACGCUUGAAUGCCGGGAGCGCCAAACGCUCCGGCGCCGUAGGAUGUGGCUGCGGCCGAUUAGGUAGACGGUGGGGUAACGGCCCACCGUGCCGAUAAUCGGUACGGGUUGUGAGAGCAAGAGCCCGGAGAUGGAUUCUGAGACAAGAAUCCAGGCCCUACGGGGCGCAGCAGGCGCGAAACCUUUACNCUGUGCGAGAGCGCGAUAAGGGGACCCCGAGUGCGAGGGCAUACAGUCCUCGCUUUUGUUCACCGUAAAGUGGUGUACGAAUAAAAGCUGGGCAAGACCGGUGCCAGCCGCCGCGNUAAUACCGGCAGCUCGAGUGAUGGCC
RNAcentral lists this ribosomal RNA (442 nucleotides) under uncultured Halococcus sp. Its description in RNAcentral is "bacterial SSU rRNA". It matches the Rfam family "Archaeal small subunit ribosomal RNA", at positions 53 to 496 of the family's 1478-position model. Lineage: Archaea; Methanobacteriati; Methanobacteriota; Halobacteria; Halobacteriales; Halococcaceae. The record is from RNAcentral.